AUUGAACGCUGGCGGCAGGCCUAACACAUGCAAGUCGAACGGUAACAGGAAGAAGCUUGCUUCUUUGCUGACGAGUGGCGGACGGGUGAGUAAUGUCUGGGAAACUGCCUGAUGGAGGGGGAUAACUACUGGAAACGGUAGCUAAUACCGCAUAACGUCGCAAGACCAAAAAGGGGGACCUUCGGGCCUCCUGCCAUCGUAUGUGCCCAGAUGGGAUUAGCUAGUAGGUGGGGUAACGGCUCACCUAGGCGACGAUCCCUAGCUGGUCUGAGAGGAUGACCAGCCACACUGGAAAUGAGACACGGUCCAGACUCCUACGGGAGGCGGCAGUGGGGAAUAUUGCACAAUGGGCGCAAGCCUGAUGCAGCCAUGCCGCGUGUAUGAAGAAGGCCUUCGGGUUGUAAAGUACUUUCAGCGGGGAGGAAGGGAGUAAAGUUAAUACCUUUGCGCAUUGACGUUACCCGCAGAAGAAGCACCGGCUAACUCCGUG
RNAcentral lists this ribosomal RNA (490 nucleotides) under uncultured bacterium. Its description in RNAcentral is "partial 16S ribosomal RNA". It matches the Rfam family "Bacterial small subunit ribosomal RNA", at positions 30 to 507 of the family's 1533-position model. The record is from RNAcentral.